UACGUAGGGUGCAAGCGUGUCCGGAAUUAUUGGGCGUAAAGAGCUCGUAGGCGGUUUGUCGCGUCUGCUGUGAAAACUCAGGGCUUAACCCUGAGCCUGCAGUGGGUACGGGCAGACUAGAGUGUGGUAGGGGAGAUCGGAAUUCCUGGUGUAGCGGUGGAAUGCGCAGAUAUCAGGAGGAACACCGAUGGCGAAGGCAGAUCUCUGGGCCGUAACUGACGCUGAGGAGCGAAAGCGUGGGGAGCGAACAGG
This 252-nucleotide ribosomal RNA is filed under the name uncultured bacterium. RNAcentral's name for it is "partial 16S ribosomal RNA". It matches the Rfam family "Bacterial small subunit ribosomal RNA", at positions 524 to 776 of the family's 1533-position model. The record is from RNAcentral.